This 73-nucleotide transfer RNA is filed under the name Candidatus Parcubacteria bacterium. Its description in RNAcentral is "tRNA-Arg". It matches the Rfam family "tRNA". Rfam says of the family: Transfer RNA (tRNA) molecules are approximately 80 nucleotides in length. The record is from RNAcentral. Lineage: Bacteria; Candidatus Parcubacteria. RNAcentral also lists the same sequence under 1 other name.
GCCCCUAUAGUUCAACUGGACAGAACAAGAGACUCCUAAGCUCUUGAUCGAGGUUCGAGUCCUCGUAGGGGCA